UCCCAGUUUGGCCGGGCAGUCUCCUGUGACACAUGUAACACAGGACAGGGGUUGCGCUCGUUGCGGGACUUAACCCAACAUCUCACGACACGAGCUGACGACAACCAUGCACCACCUGUAAACCGACCGCAAGCAGGGCACCUGUUUCCAGGUCUUUCCGGUUCAUGUCAAGCCUUGGUAAGGUUCUUCGCGUUGCAUCGAAUUAAACCACAUACUCCACCGCUUGUGCGGACCCCCGCCAAUUCCUUUGAGUUUCAAUCUUGCGAUCGUACUUCCCAGGUGGAUCACUUAAUGCUUUAGCUCAGACACCAACUGUAUAUCGCUGAUGUCGAGUGAUCAUCGUUUAGGGCGUGGACUAC
RNAcentral lists this unclassified non-coding RNA (359 nucleotides) under uncultured bacterium. Its description in RNAcentral is "contains 16S-23S intergenic spacer region". The record is from RNAcentral.